AUGGCUCGAUCGGGCCGCGGCGGCUCUCCGGAUGGAAGCCAGCUGGCCCGGCCCCUGUUCCCCCGAGGCGGACCGGACCGCCGGCCCCGCCCGCCUGUGUCAGGGCUGGCAGGGGCCGGCGCAGGCGAUGUCGCAGCCCGAGCAGGUCGGGAGCCGAGCGGAGCCGGGGGGCGCGGAGCAGGGAGCGCCACUGGUGCAGCUCGGGGAGCAGGAGGCGGCUCGUCGCCCCGCGGCCGAGCCAGGCGGCACCACUGCAGGUCUCUACUCAGAUAUCUGGUCAUGGAAGCGCACUGCAAUUCUUCUUGCUUGUAUUAGUAUUGGAGCAGUCAUCCUGAGUAUUUGCUUUGGAGUUAAAUCAUCAGGCAAGAACUCUUCUGUCUCACCUGCUGUGAAUCCCUGCCCUGCUGACUGGCUGUGUUACCAAAAUGAAUGUUACUACCUGUCGGAGCAAGAAAACAACUGGAACUCCAGUCAGAGAGAUUGUUCCUCCAGGAAAGCCUCCCUCUUUGUGCCUAAAAACCAACAGGAACUGCAGUUUAUAACAAAAAUAACAAAGCAAGAUCCCUGGAUUGGACUUCACAAGAAAGGAGAAGACUUCUUUUGGGUAAAUGGAACUGCAAUGAAUAAGAAUCUGUGGCAAGUGAAAGGUUCAGGAGAAUGUGCCUACAUUGAAUCUGAAGAAAUCUCGUUCUCUGGAUGUUCUUUAACCAGGAACUGGGUCUGUAAAAAGACCCAUAACAUGGGACCACCUGGCCUUUCAUACAUAACUUCAUGACCAGCCGGCAACUGCAGCAACUGACAGUGUUGGGGACCUACUCCUUGUCUUUUCCUGUUUCCCUGGCUCAUGCCCAUUCCCUUUUUCACUGCCAGCCUGUACCUCCUGUGUUCUAAGUGGGUACUGCCGAUCUUUGAAGGAAACCCCUGUUGCUUCUUCAUGUUUACUGGGGAGACUCUUCUGGAGUAAUUCAGCUCCCUGGCACAAAGACCUCCAGUCCUGGAUGCGUUCUUACCAGAUUUCAAAGACUCGCUGAUAGUCACCUGGAGCCAAGGAAGACAAAUAUAUCAGCCUGAUUUUUGGUUGGUAAGCACCAUGGGAAGAAUAUUCACGUGCAUAUUUCCUGUGAUCAACUGCACAACACUUGGAGCUGUGUUCAGUAGAUAAGAAGUUGUGUGCUAGGAACUCACAUGUCAUCAUGUCUGUUGGGCACUCUUCAGCAAAGUCAGACUUAAAGGCCUUCAAGGCCCUCAGAAAACAUGUCAUUAGGCUGCUGGCCCAGCCUGAAGCCAUUGCUGCUGUACGUUCCUUUCUCUUCUUUCCUAUGCAAGUGAGACUGAAGUUAGCAGAAGCAUGCCUAUGUAAGCGUACAGCCUUACCUUUAUUUCACUAUGCAGAGGUGCCUUUCCUGAGGACAGUCAGGUAUCCAUAACUUCUGCCUCACCCUCUCCAAAACUCAUGGCUUCAUCAGCUUUCCACAUGAGCACCAGUGGAAAGGUCCUGAGUUUCUCCUCAUCAGCCUUCCUCAGAGACUCUGGAAGGUGUUCCAAACUCUAAAGCAUGUAACAGAGACAUUGGUAGAGCUGCUUCUUGAUAAUCCAGCAGAGGACAGACUGCAGCCAGAAGGAACAGUACCAUGCAGACUCUGGGGACAGUCUCCUGAGAGUUCCUUUUCGUUCGUAAACUCGUUAACUCGUAACUCGUUUUGCUAUCCGUGACAACGCAAGCAAGCUACCUCGAGGCCUGCGCUGCCAUUCCAUGCGGCGUAAGUAAAAGCAAUUUUUUAAAACCAAUAAGCUGUCUCGCCUCUCCAUCGCCAGCCCACCUGACGUCCGAUUAAAUUAGUGAUCCUCUGGUCGGCUCCGGCCACCCGAGACAAGAACUAAUGCAUUUGGUGGAUUAGGGUGGAGCUCUUGACAGCCAAAGGGGUGUAUAACCACUGUAGCCUUUCUGGAUCUGCUUCUGUGGCAGGAUGGCUCAAGCCUGGAGGUUCAGUUCCUUUUCCUUAGAGUUAGUGCCAUGUUGCCAAGCACAAAAGGCCUUGCACUUGUGAUUGAUCAACUCUUGGAUCUCCUGGUCAUUCUCAUCCAACCAGUCUUGAUUUUUCCUGGUAGAGAAUCCAAGUGUCUCUUUACAGGCAGUGAUGAUGGUGGCAUUGAGGGCACCCAGCAUACUGCUGACAUUCUCCCAUUCCUGUUGAUUGGAAUUCACCAGUUUUUUGUUAAGGCACUCAUGGAAGACAUCUUGCUUGGUUGGGUCCUUGAGUCCUUCAAUGUUGAUCUUCCAGCAGCAUUGCUUCUGCUGCAGCUGCCUUUGGGAGCCAGUUUGAGUGAAAUAACCUAGUCGAUGAGUGGAUUAUGAUCAGUCCAGCAGUCAUCAGCUCCUAGCAUAGCUCGGGUGAUGUAGACAUCUUUGCAAUCCAAGGCAUGACCAAUGACAUAGUCUAUUUGUUGCCAAUGCUUAGACUAUGGGUGUUGCCAGGAUAUCUUGUGCCUGUUUUCCUGGCAGAACAGGGUGUUGGUGAUGGUGAGUCCAUGUUCCGUGCAUUUAGUCAAGAGGAGGAUGCCAGUGGAGUUGACUUUUCCUUUUCCUUUUCCUUCCUUGUUGAUGGUUCCAUUCCAGAGGUUUCUUGCCAUUGGGACAGCUUCCUUCAUGAAGCUCCAGGGCUCCAUAGGACUUGGUGCUGCCAUGUAGCAGAGACCUAGCUGGUCAUCUGAGAAAUCCAUCUUCUCUCCUGGGCCCUGUACUCAGCCUCUGGUCCUUGCUCUCUGGGCUUUGCCCUGACACUUUUAUAUGGGAGGGUUCCAGGGUGAUGUUAACUGGGGACAGUUCACAGGUAUCUUCUCCACUUGGACUGGGAAGGACAGCUCAAGGGGAGACCCUGGGCUGGGGUUUGGGUGAUGGGGAGGCCAGAGUGUGAAGUUAGUGUGGAGACAGAUCAAUUCCUUCAUGGCAACAGCCUCAACACCAGGCCACUCUGCAGCCCUUCACUGAUCUCGCUGCUAAUUGCAGCUCCUCCCAUGUCCUCAGUGAUACUGCCUGAGAAAGAAAAAGAAACUGCACAAGGCUGGGGGCCCCAAGCAAGGACCCCCAUUGAGGAAUCUGUGACAGGGUUCCUUUUUAACGAAAAGCAGUUUCGUUAGGGAAAUACCAAACCAGAGCUUCAGGUGGUGACACUGCAGCUGCUUCAUAGGCCUGUGUGAGUAGGGAAUUACUAGAUUUGGAUCUGGAUUCAGCAGAUUUGGAUGCCAGUGAUUUGAUUCAGAUCUCCGAAUUGUUUUUCCGCUUCGAUUCAGAGCCGAUUCGGAGAUUCAGCCAUGGAGUAUAAUGGGGAAUCAAUGAAAUAUCUAUAACUGUUGUUUUUUGUCUGAUUCAGAUGAAACCUGCAGGGCUGGUAGCCUCUGCAGAGAGCAUAAAGCCUACCAGGUAUCAAGGUGAUAGGUGCAGGGCUUUCUGGGAAACUGCACCUCAAAGUCCAGAAAGCAAAACUCAUGCCACGUGUGUGUUAUACCACAGGGGGGCUGAAAACUGCAGGGGUGGUAGCCCCUGCCAAGGCCACACAGCCUGCCAAGUUUCAAGGAGAUAGAUGCAGGGGCUUGGGGUAAACUGCACCCCAAGCUGCAGACAAGUAAAACUCGUGACAUAGGUGACAGUGUGUGUGUUAAGGCACAGCAGGGUGAAAGCUGCAGGCCUGCUAGCCCCUGCUGAGGCCAUGAAGCCUGCCAGCUGUCAAGGAGAUAGGUGCGGGGGGAGUCUGGCUUUGGUGGGUGACAUUGUGUGUGCACUAAGGUGAGCCCUUACCGGCACUGGGCCUCUACACAACAUGGCAGUGUGCCCCAGUGAGGCUUACUCCUCCCCUACAGCCUCAGUCUGGUCCACUGCUUUACAUGACAACCGAUAAAAUAACUUAGUGACUGACUUUGCACUAGCAGUAGCACCAGCAGCAUCUCAGGUAGCCAAACUGUCAGAGAGCCCUUCUUUCCUCUCAAGUAUUACCUGCUUCUUCUCUAGCGUGUCUGUUAAGGUGUGCUCUCACUCUGUGUGUGUGUGUGUGUGUGUACUUGUGUUCAGGUGCGCCCUCACUGGCGCUGGGGCCUCUGCACAACACGGCAUUGUGGCCCAGUGAGGUCUCCUCCUCCCCUACAACCUCAGGUCAAUCCACCACUGUAAACAACGGCAGGUCAAAAUAACUUAGCUGGCUCGAUACCAGUAGCAGCAGCAGCAGCAGCAGCAUCAAAGGUGCCCAAACAGACCUGUCACAAAGCCUGUUGUUUUAUAAAGGAAUUGACAGCAAGAAAUAAAGAUGUUGUGUUGGAUA
This is an RNA transcript of Alligator mississippiensis (American alligator), 4313 nucleotides long. It is a transcript of the gene named C-type lectin domain family 2 member L, with no coding region annotated. Lineage: Eukaryota; Metazoa; Chordata; Crocodylia; Alligatoridae. The transcript is spliced from 7 exons. The record is from RefSeq and is a predicted model, not a curated record.